CCUACGGGAGGCAGCAGUGAGGAAUAUUGGUCAAUGGGCGAGAGCCUGAACCAGCCAAGUCGCGUGAGGGAGUACUGCCCUAUGGGUUGUAAACCUCUUUUGUCGGGGAGCAAAAGCCGGACGUGUCCGGCUGUGGGAGUACCCGAAGAAAAAGCAUCGGCUAACUCCGUGCCAGCAGCCGCGGUAAUACGGAGGAUGCGAGCGUUAUCCGGAUUUAUUGGGUUUAAAGGGUGCGUAGGCGGCCUUUUAAGUCAGCGGUGAAAGUCUGUGGCUCAACCAUAGAAUUGCCGUUGAAACUGGGGGGCUUGAGUAUGUUUGAGGCAGGCGGAAUGCGUGGUGUAGCGGUGAAAUGCUUAGAUAUCACGCAGAACCCCGAUUGCGAAGGCAGCCUGCCAAGCCAUGACUGACGCUGAUGCACGAAAGCGUGGGGAUCAAACAGGAUUAGAUACCCUAGUAGUC
This 459-nucleotide ribosomal RNA is filed under the name uncultured bacterium. Its description in RNAcentral is "partial 16S ribosomal RNA". It matches the Rfam family "Bacterial small subunit ribosomal RNA", at positions 338 to 795 of the family's 1533-position model. The record is from RNAcentral.